ACACCCAUUUUUGGGUACUGGGGAUCGAUCAAAGCAGGGAACCAAGGGUGAAACCCUUGUUCACCAAAUUCAACCAAAUUGGGUAGAAAAUUAGAAGAUAAUCAACUGCAUGAACUCGAAUCUACACCUAUCUAAGCUCGAUUUUGAAAAGGCGUAAAGGAAGAAGGACCCAAAACUAGGAAAUCGGAAGGUUCACAAGAUCGAGGAUGGAAAUCUCGUCAGUUGAUUCAAGUAUGGAUGGUAAACGGGGUAAGAGGAAGCAAUGAGGCAAAUAUGAACCUGAACACUAAAGGUAAGUGAUUUUGCAAUCACUUCAAAUAUAUCUACAUGAAGGUGUAUACAUGUUUGCAUAUUCGAAAUCAAAGUGAAAUGUAUAAAUAAAUUAGAAAUGUUAUGGUACAUUUUGUUGAAAUUGUUGGCAUAAUGUUAAACCGAUAAGACCUCAUUAUAAGGGUAAAUCGGUCAUAAAUUUUAGUUGAGAAAUUCUAAGACGGGAAUGAAAACUUGGCAAUGUUGAUGAAAGCUAUGGAAAGAAUAUUAGUCGGGAUGUUAGCUAAAGACAUUUUGUAAAGAUGAUUCGAAUUGAAAGUAAGUACAACGCGUACAACAAUACUUAGAUACAAUAAGUACUAAGUGUGAUUAAUUUUAAAAGGUCAAAUUGUAGAAGACAGUAAAUCAUAAUUACUUACAAUUGCUAGAAGUAUUACGUAAGAAAUGACAUGGUAAAGGAUACGACAGAAGAACGAAAGGUACAGAUGAAAAUGCUAGAAUCUGAGAAAUGAAUUCAAACUGGUAAGAAUGAAAGGUAAGUAAUUAAAAGUUCGAAUCCGUAAGUGAAGACGGAUUGAACAAGUGAGAAUAAAAAGUAAGUACCAGACGCAAAUCAGUUAUACGGGUCAAAUGGCGAUCGCCAUUUGAACCCGGUAUUUAAUGUUUGGCUUGUCAAGUUUAUUACUUAUAGGUGAGCAUAAUGUAUGGGCAUGCAUUGUCACAGUUUGGAAAACAUUAACCAUCGCAAAGUAUAAAUAACGAGUCAAGGAUUUUGACCCGCGCCAGGUACGUAUAAAAAGAUUAUAUUUUUAAUAAGAGCUUAGGGCUCGACUAGAGAAUGAUGUGUCAGAAUAGGAUAACUGAUACCCAUAUGUAAGAAUGUAUUUACAAUUAGACUUCCGAAAAGUCAAACGAAAUAAAUGAAGUCCUUGCAAUUAUGCAAGUAUAAGAUACGAACGUGUACCUCGAUGCAACCACAAUAGGUAAAGGGGCGUUAGUCUGAUCGUGAAAGGUCAAACUGUGAAAGUUGACGAAAUAACCAAUAAAAUGAAAGGAUAGUAUGUAAGAAAUGGAAUGUAAGAAAUGUUUUAGCAUGUACGUAAGAAAAUUGUGAAAGAGCCAAUAGGCGAACAAAUACCAUGUAGGGUGCAAUUAUGAAAAGUUAUGUGCUAACAAUUUAUUCAUAGAUAAAUAUAAUGAAAUUCUUCGUGAGAUGAUAGUAAUGAAGCUAGUGGAAGGAUGCUCACGAGUGGGAGCAUAUUUUAUGAAUGAAUGAGACCAAUUCUGGUACGGGAGGUACAUAUAAAGAAGCGGAUCAAUCCGGCACACGGAUAACUGACUUAUGCAUUGAAGGCGAGGCGUAAAGGAAGAAGGACCCAAAACUAGGAAAUCGGAAGGUUCACAAGAUCGAGGUAAAACUCCACUUUAGGCGAAUUGGAGAUAUGGAGCGAGCACGUGUCCAUGCCUUAUUAUACCAAGCGCUUCCGCUAGAUAUAUGCACACUUUUGGGUCCAUGUCUUGUUAAUUUGUUUAAUCUUGUUAGAAGUCAUACACUUAAAAACUUGUUGUCUUCGUUUUGGGAAGUUUAAAGUUAAAUGGGUCGUAGAUUGUCGUUAGUUUAAUAACUUAAAAAAAAACAGGGGGCAUGCUCGUUUUACGAACGGGUCAUGCCCAAUUUUUGUAAGGAUUUCGUUAUGUAUUAAGUUUUUGGU
RNAcentral lists this long non-coding RNA (1982 nucleotides) under Helianthus annuus (common sunflower). Its description in RNAcentral is "hypothetical non coding rna". Lineage: Eukaryota; Viridiplantae; Streptophyta; Magnoliopsida; Asterales; Asteraceae. The record is from RNAcentral.